GCGUAUGAUGAGCUAGUUGGUGGGGUAAAGGCCUACCAAGGCGACGAUCCUUAGCUGGUCUGAGAGGAUGAUCAGCCACACUGGGACUGAGACACGGCCCAGACUCCUACGGGAGGCAGCAGUGGGGAAUAUUGGACAAUGGGCGAAAGCCUGAUCCAGCCAUGCCGCGUGAGUGAUGAAGGCCUUAGGGUUGUAAAGCUCUUUUACCCGGGAAGAUAAUGACUGUACCGGGAGAAUAAGCUCCGGCUAACUCCGUGCCAGCAGCCGCGGUAAUACGGAGGGAGCUAGCGUUGUUCGGAAUUACUGGGCGGAAAGCGCACGUACGCGGCUUUGUAGGCUAGACGUGAAAGCCUGGAGCUCAACUCCUGAACUGCCUCUAAGACUGUAUCGCUCGAAUCCAGGGAAGGUGAGUGGAAUUCCGAGUGUCAAGGUGAAAUUCGUACAUAUCCGGAACAACACAGUGGCGACGCGGCUCACUGAACUGUAAUUGACGCUGAGGUG
RNAcentral lists this ribosomal RNA (501 nucleotides) under uncultured bacterium. RNAcentral describes it as "bacterial SSU rRNA". It matches the Rfam family "Bacterial small subunit ribosomal RNA", at positions 233 to 753 of the family's 1533-position model. The record is from RNAcentral.